UGUGAAGUAGCUCAGUCGGCAGAGCAACAGCCUUAUAAGCUGUGUGUCACAGGUUCAAAUCCUGUCUUCACAA
Molecule: transfer RNA, 73 nt
Filed under: Bacteriophage sp.
Description: tRNA-Ile
Rfam family: tRNA
About the family: Transfer RNA (tRNA) molecules are approximately 80 nucleotides in length. Their secondary structure includes four short double-helical elements and three loops (D, anti-codon, and T loops). Further hydrogen bonds mediate the characteristic L-shaped molecular structure. tRNAs have two regions of fundamental functional importance: the anti-codon, which is responsible for specific mRNA codon recognition, and the 3' end, to which the tRNAs corresponding amino acid is attached (by aminoacyl-tRNA synthetases). tRNAs cope with the degeneracy of the genetic code in two manners: having more than one tRNA (with a specific anti-codon) for a particular amino acid; and 'wobble' base-pairing, i.e. permitting non-standard base-pairing at the 3rd anti-codon position.
Source: RNAcentral